GAUGAACGCUGGCGGCGUGCCUAAUACAUACAAGUCGAGCGAACAGACGAGGAGCUUGCUCCUCUGACGUUAGCGGCGGACGGGUGAGUAACACGUGGAUAACCUACCUAUAAGACUGGGAUAACUUCGGGAAACCGGAGCUAAUACCGGAUAAUAUAUUGAACCGCAUGGUUCAAUAGUGAAAGACGGUCUUGCUGUCACUUAUAGAUGGAUCCGCGCCGCAUUAGCUAGUUGGUAAGGUAACGGCUUACCAAGGCAACGAUGCGUAGCCGACCUGAGAGGGUGAUCGGCCACACUGGAACUGAGACACGGUCCAGACUCCUACGGGAGGCAGCAGUAGGGAAUCUUCCGCAAUGGGCGAAAGCCUGACGGAGCAACGCCGCGUGAGUGAUGAAGGUCUUCGGAUCGUAAAACUCUGUUAUUAGGGAAGAACAAAUGUGUAAGUAACUAUGCACGUCUUGACGGUACCUAAUCAGAAAGCCACGGCUAACUACGUG
RNAcentral lists this ribosomal RNA (497 nucleotides) under uncultured bacterium. RNAcentral describes it as "partial 16S ribosomal RNA". It matches the Rfam family "Bacterial small subunit ribosomal RNA", at positions 28 to 507 of the family's 1533-position model. The record is from RNAcentral.